CGAUCGAGGUACACUAGAAAUGGACUACUUGAUGAAUGUGCUAAGGUACAUAGUAAAUUGAAUUUGUGAGGAUUGCUAAGUAAUUUUAUAAUAUAUUUACACACCUGUUUAUUGUAUUUAACUAACCAAACCAUAUAUUUGUACAUAACGUUAAUGACAAGAACAAAAUGUGAAUAAACAAAGAAAGAAGUAAUAUGAAAUACCAAAGGUUAACUCCCAAAAUAUUGACUUUUUAUUUCAAAUUGACGCAUACCUCCACUUAAAAAAUCUGAACCAACUAAACGAUGUCGAAAGGUAUUUAAUUACAUAAUAUUACAAAUUAAGGGUUUCGGAGUUUUCAAGGGUUACUUCUGAAGUAGUGGGUGCUUCAGAAGUAAUGUUUGCGGUUUCUGUUUUGGUAGCUGAAUCAUUCUCAGAGUUCUUAGGAGCACGUCUCGUUUUUUUAGCUUUUACAUGAUCUGAAGGUAAAUCGAAAUUCCGUCUUAAUUUCGUCCUUAAUCCAGGCAAAGCGUAAUUAACCUUUUUCCGUUCCCUUCGGCUCCUUCCAUCAGGUUUUUCAUUUGGCUCAUUGACUACUGUACUUUCUUCAGAAGUUUCUUGAAUCCGAGCUUUUCUUCGCCUUUUCACUUUUGUUUCUCUUCGCGACUGAGUUUUCGUCACACGAUCGUUCUCAUUAGGGGAUUUCAAAUUCGUUACAGAUGACAGAAGUUCCAAAUUAUUAUAGGAGCCCGUAUCGUUGGUAGCAAAGGAGCUACGUGACGGCUCAAUUUCGUAAGGUCGAUCUUCAGCAUUCAAUAUUCCUUGUAGCGAUGGCGGACGUAACGGAGAAUUAUUGGGAUGGGCUAUUGAAAAUCCAUUUGAAGAUGGAGGUUCACUUGACAGUCUCAUGGGAGGAUUUCGAAAAAGUGUUAAAAUUUCCCGCUCUUCGUCGGUAAAAGAUUUAGGAUUCAGUCCAAUUUUGUUAGAGUCAUUCAUUAUUUCUACAGAAAAUUUUUCGUUCCCAUUAGUGACAGAAGAGUCUACUAACCCGUUUAUUUCCCUUGGAGUGUCUGUACGAGGAGAUUCAGCAACAGUCAUAUUUGACAGAGAAGUCGUCGUAACCUGAGGCCCAACAUUCUCUUGUGAAGUUAAUGAAUUAUGCGCAGUAUCUUCAGGCGCAAACUUCAACGAUAUGGAGCUAUUUAAAUUAGGAUCUGAAAUAUGAUGCCCAUUUCGGUUACUUUUAUUUGAAGAUUGCACAAGAAGGACAGCAGAAUCCAAAGAGUUUGCGCGAUUGGGGCGACUAUCGGUCUCCGAUACAUAACCGGUAACAUUGGUAGCUGCAGAAGCCAGAUUAAUUUGUUUAUUUUGAAUGUCAACGUCCCAUUUCCGUUUAGUGGGUGUACUUUGUAUUACUGUAUCAGAUUGUAUUCUGCUAUGAAAAUGAGCUUCUUGUGAACCCUCAUUUUCUUCUUGAGCAACUCCAUUUGCAUUAUCUUCUUCGGUUCUUCUUUGUGCAGCUGCUUGAUUAUUAAUUUUGUUGGAUAAUGAUUUUGGACUAACGAUUUCGUAUUCAUGAUUUUUUUCCUGAGGAGCAGAAUCGAUAGAUUUAUUUUCAGAAGUAACCGCUUCAACUCUAUCUUCAUUAUUAUUAUUUACAGGUUUCGAAUUGGAUAGAUUGUAAGGAUUUUCAAAAUCAGCUGGGAGGGCUUUGCCGGAUUUUAGCUGAGGUGCUGAUUGCGUGUCGGAAAAAACAUUAGCUUCUCUUUUUUUUUGUUCAUUUAUAGCAGUUUCUCCGUCAUCAAUUAUAUUUUCAUCCUCUAUUCCACUUAAAUUUCGUAAGGAAACAUCAUGCUGAGCUUGCUCAAUUAUUUCUUCGGUAUCUUUCACGACGGAUUCCUUUCAGACGUUAGAUAAACAUAUCUGAAAAACAUAAUACGAUUCAACUUACCUCGUCAAGGUCUUCAGAAUCCGUAUCGACAUCGUAAGCUAAGUUAGCCUCCACUGGUUUGAAGGUGUCUGUGUUCAAUUAGCUAAAAACGAUAUGAAUUCAAACACGUACCUUGUAUUUCUUGCUGACAAAGACUUAAUUUUGAUAAAAAAUUAUCUGUUUCUUCAUGAAAUCGAUUAAGUAAUGCAGCUAACUUUGUUUUGUUUUCUUCGUUUUCGUUUUGCACGGUUUCGAGUUGCUCUUCCAAGUUUAUCGCUGUAGUCCUCAAAUCGAUAUUUUCCGAAAGCAACCGUUCAUUUUCUAACUGCAAUUCUUUAAUUCUAAUUGAUUGUGCCUUGCUUAUUCUUUGUAUGUGUUAAUUAAUUAUUCAAUUCCAACAAAAAUGUAUGCGUACCGUAUAAUUUCCUUAUACUGUCGAAUUUGCUUUUUUUUCACUAAUUCAUCAGUUGAGAUUAAUAUAAGUAUCACGUACAGUCUUCUACGUUCGGGGAAAGAGAUGCUUUCGACAUUAUAAAUAGAAAAUCCCGAUGUACUUCAUUGACCACGUUCCCGGUGGAGGUUUAGUACUUAAACGCGGCUGUACAGCAGUAUCAUUAUCAACAAGGUGUAGAGGUGCUGGAUAGUCGAAGUACGAAUUAUUUGACUACUAAUGAUACACUCUUUGAAAAGAACAUUAAAAUCCUUUUACAUUUACUAUACUUUGAAUUUACGAAUAGAUAGAUAACUAAAGAAAGAACUACCAUUCACUAAUCCUUUCAGUGGUAUUAAUAAAUGUUCAAAGAGAAAAAUAAUUAGCUAUUAAAAAUAUUAAUUAUUAAAAAUCAAGCUUGAUUGAAAUAUGUCAAAACGAGUAGUACAUGGAGUACUUAGUCGACAUGUGAUUUAGUCGUGAAUUAAUCUUGACCACGAAAAAUUAUUAAUUAAAUUCAAUCAAAUUAUAACCCCCAACUUUCCUCUACGUUAUUUUCUGUUUCCUCUUCGUCAUUCCAGUUUUCCAUCCAAGAUUCGUCUAUCUGUUCCUCUGUUUCAAAAAGAGGAUUAUUGAAUUCAUCCUUAGAGUUUUCAGUGUUUCCAACAACUCUACUUUUUGAAUUUUUUUUUUCUUUUAUUUCAGUGGUAUCAUUUUUUAACUCAAGCGACUCCUUUUUCAUAUCGAUAGAAGGCGAAGGAGAAGCAGAAGAUGAAUGAAUAAAUUUGGACCAAAAAGAACCAUUAAAUUUUGCCGGUGCGGAAACAUUUUCUUUUUCCCCUAAAUUAAAGUUUUUUAUACGGCUCAAAAAUUGGUCAGUGACAUCCUCAGCUGUUCUUCGUAUUCCUCUAAUAACGUCAAAAAGUUAGUAAUUCCUAAGUGGUAUACAGGUUCAAAAAAAUCUUACUCGUUUUCAUCAAUUAGUAAUGGCACCACCGAUGGGAAAAGUUUGAUGGCCACAUCCUUUGUAUCAAAGUAAUUUUGAACUGAGAGGAGUACUUUUAAGGCUGCCUCUCUAGCAGGAACAAAUGGGUCUUUAAGAGAACGUGAUAAAGCAGCAGCUAAAACGGGUUUUCGCACCUAAAUCUGUUAAAAAUAAAGUCCUAACGUUUAGUUCUUCUUAGUCUUACGCUGGCAUCUAAAUAUUCAGCAAUUUUACCUAGACAAAUGGUACUGUUGGUACGUAAAGUAGGAUGUUGGUCAUUUUGGACAACCGCUAAGCUUCGUAGUAGUUCAUUAUUCAAUGUUUUCUUCGAAAGCUGUAUACUAAUUAGCAAUUUGUAAGAUAAGAUGGCUUACUUUUGGUGCUAUAAUGGAAAAAACAACAAUAGCAUGUUCUUUUAAGGUGGGAGAAUUGGAGCGCACAAGGUUCGCGAAAACUGAAAAGCUAGUGUCUUCAUAUAUAUUCUUUGGUAGCACGUCGGGAUUGUUAAUGAUUCCGGAAAGUAGCAAGCCUCGUAUGGGAACGCUUUGUUGUUUCAAAAGAGACAAUAACGGUACUCCAAAGUCUUUUUCUAUAUCCGGUCUUCCUUUUACAAUUUGAGCACAUUUGAAUAGAAGCUCAACGACGUCCGAAUGGGUGUCAAUCGAUAAUAGUAGAAAGAGGAUGUUUAAUACAACCUUUUGUAUAUAGUUUUUAGGAAUUACUUCUAGCUUUGACGAAAGAAGUUGUUUUAAUUUCACUCUAUCUUCCUCUUCGUUUAUUCGAACCUCGGACAAAAGUUCAUAUAACGUAAUCAAAUGUGUACGAAAAAACCCCCCAGGACGCUCGCCAAGUUUUAGAAAUUCUGAAGCUAAUAACUUUUGCUUUCCUUCCACAUUCAACAGUUUUUUUGCAGAAACAAAUAUAUUGGCUGGAAUGUUUCCACGCUGAGAUAAGUCCCCUGGCGUUCCAUUAUAAAGAUGAGAAAUGAACUUUCCCAAUUCAUAAGAAUCCAAGUAAAUGAAUGAAGCACUAUUUAAUGUUGAAGACUGAAUUUCAAACGGAACCAACCGACUCCAGUUCAGAAUUUUGUCAUGAUUAUCCUUUAUAAAUUGUGGUGAAUCACCUGCUAAGAAAAAGUCGCCUAUUAUCCAUUCAUCUGCACUAUUAAGAUAAACAGAAGACAUUUGAAGGUUUCCAUGAACAAUAUUUUUAUCAUUGAGAAAUGACAAUGCAGCCUAAACACGUUUAAAUUAGUUUUAAUCCACAUUUUGAACUCAAAUUACAUACCGAAACCCUCCAAAGGCCGUAAGUUUUUAUUUCCGCAGAUAGUUCAUUCAGUUCAGUUGUGACAGGUCUUACAGUUUCCGUUGCAAUGUACAAGU
Non-coding RNA from Schizosaccharomyces pombe (fission yeast), 4706 nucleotides. The record is from the annotation of a GenBank genome assembly. Lineage: Eukaryota; Fungi; Ascomycota; Schizosaccharomycetes; Schizosaccharomycetales; Schizosaccharomycetaceae.